RNAcentral lists this ribosomal RNA (1183 nucleotides) under Hoylesella buccalis. RNAcentral's name for it is "bacterial SSU rRNA". It matches the Rfam family "Bacterial small subunit ribosomal RNA", at positions 282 to 1474 of the family's 1533-position model. Lineage: Bacteria; Pseudomonadati; Bacteroidota; Bacteroidia; Bacteroidales; Prevotellaceae. The record is from RNAcentral.
AGUAGGGGUUCUGAGAGGAAGGUCCCCCACAUUGGAACUGAGACACGGUCCAAACUCCUACGGGAGGCAGCAGUGAGGAAUAUUGGUCAAUGGGCGAGAGCCUGAACCAGCCAAGUAGCGUGCAGGAUGACGGCCCUAUGGGUUGUAAACUGCUUUUAUGCGGGGAUAAAGUGNGNGACGUGUCNUGCAUUGCAGGUACCGCAUGAAUAAGGACCGGCUAAUUCCGUGCCAGCAGCCGCGGUAAUACGGAAGGUCCGGGCGUUAUCCGGAUUUAUUGGGUUUAAAGGGAGCGUAGGCCGCCAGAUAAGCGUGUUGUGAAAUGUACCGGCUCAACCGGUGAAUUGCAGCGCGAACUGUUUGGCUUGAGUGCACGGUAAGCAGGCGGAAUUCAUGGUGUAGCGGUGAAAUGCUUAGAUAUCAUGAAGAACUCCGAUUGCGAAGGCAGCUUGCUGCAGUGCGACUGACGCUGAUGCUCGAAGGUGCGGGUAUCAAACAGGAUUAGAUACCCUGGUAGUCCGCACGGUAAACGAUGGAUGCCCGCUGUCCGCCUAUUGUGGCGGGUGGCCAAGCGAAAGCGUUAAGCAUCCCACCUGGGGAGUACGCCGGCAACGGUGAAACUCAAAGGAAUUGACGGGGGCCCGCACAAGCGGAGGAACAUGUGGUUUAAUUCGAUGAUACGCGAGGAACCUUACCCGGGCUUGAACUGCCAGUGAACGAUACAGAGAUGUUGAGGCCCUUCGGGGCGCNGGUGGAGGUGCUGCAUGGUUGUCGUCAGCUCGUGCCGUGAGGUGUCGGCUUAAGUGCCAUAACGAGCGCAACCCCUUUUUUCAGUUGCCAUCAGGUAAUGCUGGGCACUCUGGAGAUACUGCCACCGCAAGGUGUGAGGAAGGUGGGGAUGACGUCAAAUCAGCACGGCCCUUACGUCCGGGGCUACACACGUGUUACAAUGGGGCAUACAGAGUGUUGGCUUAACGCAAGUUUGGUCUAAUCUUCAAAGUGNCUCCCAGUUCGGACUGGGGUCUGCAACCCGACCCCACGAAGCUGGAUUCGCUAGUAAUCGCGCAUCAGCCAUGGCGCGGUGAAUACGUUCCCGGGCCUUGUACACACCGCCCGUCAAGCCAUGAAAGCCGGGGGUGCCUGAAGUCCGUAACCGUCNAGGAGCGGCCUAGGGCAAAACUGGUGA